Molecule: long non-coding RNA, 1207 nt
Filed under: Cervus hanglu yarkandensis (Yarkand deer)
Lineage: Eukaryota; Metazoa; Chordata; Mammalia; Artiodactyla; Cervidae
Description: lncRNA (ENSCHYG00000013947.1)
Source: RNAcentral
AAGCGCCAAUACUUUGGCCACCUGAUAGGAAGAACUGACUCACAGGAAAAGACCCUGGUGCUGGGAAAGACUGAAGGCAGGAGGAGAAGAGGGUGGCAGAGGAUGAGAUGGUUGGAUGGCAUCACUGACUCAGUGGGCAGGAAUUUGAGCAAAUUCCGGGAGAUAGUGGAGGGCAGAGGAGCCUCGUGUGCUGCUGUCCAUGUGGGUGCAAAGAGUCAGACAAAACUGAGCUACUGAAUAACAACAACAACAAAACGUUCUGAGUGCUUAUGUUGACCUCGGCUCUGAGUUAAUUCUCCAGAGUCCCCUUGGCUUAUCCCCAUUCCACAGGUAAGGAAAUGGAGGUAUUUAGUGUGCUUGAGCGCUUAGGGAUGUGAGGGCCUUGUCUCCCCAGGCCAGCUGGAGCAGCUCCAGGGCAGGCCAUCUUAUGUACUGUCUGGAUUCCUGGACCCACCUCACUUGGUGCUUGUUGAGCUGUGUAGCUAGAAGAGGAGUGCACCCAUCUGUUCUCUCCUGGGAGAUUUGGUGCCUAGAAUCCACCUUGUCAGUCAGAGCUUCGGCUAAGUCAGGGUAACCGCCAAAGCACAGAUCCUGGACAGAGAAUGAAUAUUCAGUGAUCCAUUUUCCCCCUUGGCUGCCAGAAUGCUUAAAGCUAAAUUUACUGCUCAAGCGCCGCUCUCGGAGUCAGAUGUCUGGUGUAGCUCACAUACUUUACAUUUUACUAGCUGUAUGGUAACAUAUGGCCUUUGUUUGUUGUUCCUCCAGAUGCUCUAUACCUGCCGUAGCAGAUGAAAAGACGGGCACACAGACGAAGAGGAGGAAAGAGCCUCACUUGGCAGAGGGGACAGGAAGGGAAAGUAAGAAUGCUGGUGUUGGAGGAGCCUGGGUAUUUCCUAGACCAGUGGUCCUUAAACUUCUGUGGACCACCAAGCAGGUGGCUCCGAGGCCCUGGGACGGAUGCCCCUUCUACCAGAUCCCAGCCAUUGCCUCCUAAACUGGAAUUCCCAGAAACGCAGCCACUCUGCCUUGGUUUGACAGAGCAAGUGGUCCCCAUGCAAGGUGAUGGACGACGAGAGGCACCCCAGACUAAGGAGAGCCUCCUUUUCUGCUCACCACUGCCUGUGAGUCAAGCACUGACAGAGCAAUAGACAGACAGACAGGCCCCAAUGCCAGGCCCACUCCAGACCAAUGGAAUCUGUGUGCCCAG